Molecule: long non-coding RNA, 355 nt
Organism: Paramisgurnus dabryanus
Lineage: Eukaryota; Metazoa; Chordata; Actinopteri; Cypriniformes; Cobitidae
Source: RefSeq, a predicted model, not a curated record
GUCAGUAUUUAUUUGUUUGUGUUUUUAAAUAAUCUAAAAUACUGUAAUGUAGUGUAAACAAGCUGAAAAUGUGUUUAAAUUAAAAUGACACUAUCUGUUUCUUUUUCUAAAAGUGGACAGUGCUGAAAUUGAGCCCAUCACUGCUUGUUUGGUAUGGAAAAAGAGGACAUAAAGGAGCAUCACUUGUAAACCAAAACAACAUUUCAACAGAACACAAUGGUGAAGAAGAUCUGACUUACACUGAAGUGGAGUAUUUAAUGCAGUUAAUCUAUAAGCAAAGUGGACACAGACAGAGAUGAUCAAGAAACUGUAUAUUCUGCAUGUGACGUGUUAUGUCCUAUAAACAAAAGAUGAA